This is a non-coding RNA of Virgibacillus necropolis, 146 nucleotides long. NCBI's taxonomy places the organism in Bacteria, Bacillati, Bacillota, Bacilli, Caryophanales, Bacillaceae. The record is from Rfam.
GUUACCUUUAAUUCAGUCCUGUGAGACUGGCAAGGUGGAACAGAUGAAGAUCUGUUUUAUAAAUAAAACUCGGAAAGGUUUCUUCCUUUUGCGAGCCUUUUAUUUGUACACUACACCUUGCCAGAAUAGGCAAGGUGUUUUUUUGG